This 336-nucleotide unclassified non-coding RNA is filed under the name soil metagenome. RNAcentral's name for it is "partial contains 5.8S ribosomal RNA, internal transcribed spacer 2, and large subunit ribosomal RNA". The stretch from base 1 to 120 matches the Rfam family "5.8S ribosomal RNA", at positions 35 to 154 of the family's 154-position model. The record is from RNAcentral.
GAUGAAGAACGUAGCGAAAUGCGAUAAGUAGUGUGAAUUGCAGAAUUCAGUGAAUCAUCGAAUCUUUGAACGCACAUUGCGCCCUUUGGUAUUCCUUAGGGCAUGUCUGUUCGAGCGUCAUUUGAACCCUCAAGCUCAGCUUGGUGUUGGGUGUCUGUCCCCGCCUCCGCGGGGACUCGCCUCAAAAUCAUUGGCGGCCGGUACGUUGGCUUCGAGCGCAGCAGAAACGCGAACUCGAGGCCCGGCGGAUCGGCGACCAGAAGUCUCUUCUUCACAGUUUGACCUCGGAUCAGGUAGGGAUACCCGCUGAACUUAAGCAUAUCAAUAAGCGGAGGA